GACGAACGCUGGCGGCGUGCUUAACACAUGCAAGUCGAACGGAAAGGCCCUGCUUUUGUGGGGUGCUCGAGUGGCGAACGGGUGAGUAACACGUGAGUAACCUGCCCUUGACUUUGGGAUAACUUCAGGAAACUGGGGCUAAUACCGGAUAGGAGCUCCUGCUGCAGGGUGGGGGUUGGAAAGUUUCGGCGGUUGGGGAUGGACUCGCGGCUUAUCAGCUUGUUGGUGGGGUAGUGGCUUACCAAGGCUUUGACGGGUAGCCGGCCUGAGAGGGUGACCGGCCACAUUGGGACUGAGAUACGGCCCAGACUCCUACGGGAGGCAGCAGUGGGGAAUAUUGCACAAGGGGCGGAAGCCUGAUGCAGCAACGCCGCGUGCGGGAUGACGGCCUUCGGGUUGUAAACCGCUUUCGCCUGUGACGAAGCGUGAGUGACGGUAAUGGGUAAAGAAGCACCGGCUAACUACGUG
RNAcentral lists this ribosomal RNA (468 nucleotides) under uncultured bacterium. Its description in RNAcentral is "partial 16S ribosomal RNA". It matches the Rfam family "Bacterial small subunit ribosomal RNA", at positions 28 to 507 of the family's 1533-position model. The record is from RNAcentral.